RNAcentral lists this microRNA precursor (98 nucleotides) under Triticum aestivum (bread wheat). Its description in RNAcentral is "MIR9666 microRNA precursor family". It matches the Rfam family "MIR9666 microRNA precursor family". Lineage: Eukaryota; Viridiplantae; Streptophyta; Magnoliopsida; Poales; Poaceae. The record is from Rfam by way of RNAcentral. RNAcentral also lists the same sequence under 1 other name.
UCAUUCGGAUUUGCCAUCAUACGUCCAACCGUGCAUUUGAUAUGCAUAUAUAUGCAUCACGAGCAACGGUUGGGCUGUAUGAUGGCGAUACCGAUUGG